Molecule: ribosomal RNA, 97 nt
Filed under: uncultured bacterium
Lineage: Bacteria
Description: partial 16S ribosomal RNA
Rfam family: Bacterial small subunit ribosomal RNA
Source: RNAcentral
CACACCGCCCGUCACAUCAUGAAAGCCGUUUGUACCCGAAGUCACCGGGCUAACCGCAAGGAAGCAGGUGCCGAAGGUAUGGAUGGUGAUUGGGAUG